GACGAACGCUGGCGGCGUGCUUAACACAUGCAAGUCGAACGGAAAGGCCCUGCUUUUGUGGGGUGCUCGAGUGGCGAACGGGUGAGUAACACGUGAGUAACCUGCCCUUGACUUUGGGAUAACUUCAGGAAACUGGGGCUAAUACCGGAUAGGAGCUCCUGCUGCAUGGUGGGGGUUGGAAAGUUUCGGCGGUUGGGGAUGGACUCGGGGCUUAUCAGCUUGUUGGUGGGGUAGUGGCUUACCAAGGCUUUGACGGGUAGCCGGCCUGAGAGGGUGACCGGCCACAUUGGGACUGAGAUACGGCCCAGACUCCUACGGGGGGCAGCAGUGGGGAAUAUUGCACAAUGGGCGGAAGCCUGAUGCAGAAACGCCGCGUGCGGGAUGACGGCCUUCGGGUUGUAAACCGCUUUCGCCUGUGACGAAGCGGGAGUGACGGUAAUGGGUAAAGAAGCACCGGCUAACUACGUG
Molecule: ribosomal RNA, 468 nt
Filed under: uncultured bacterium
Lineage: Bacteria
Description: partial 16S ribosomal RNA
Rfam family: Bacterial small subunit ribosomal RNA
Source: RNAcentral